Molecule: small RNA, 386 nt
Filed under: Arabidopsis thaliana (thale cress)
Lineage: Eukaryota; Viridiplantae; Streptophyta; Magnoliopsida; Brassicales; Brassicaceae
Description: ATSL086730
Source: RNAcentral
AUUUAUAUUAUAAAAUCUGGGUUUUAAGACGAACUUUAUCCUAAAAAGAACAAUGGUACUUUGACCCAUUGUCUUGUUUCUUUCAUCGAAGGUCUUUCUUUGGGCUUUCUAAAAAGGUAUUACAUGCCAAGUUCGGCCUCACGGUCUAAAAGCUGUCAAGUCAUAUAGUUUUAACCAAAAAAAAAAGAGAGAUGCAACACGAGGACUUCCCGGGAGGUCAGCCAUCCUAGUACUACUCUCGCCCAAACACGCUUAACUGCGGAUAUCUGACGGGAUCCGGUGCAUUAGUACCUAAAGGUCAAUGUAGAAAACACAUCCACUAUAAAUAUGAAGGUUCUUGGUUUAUAGUUUUCUUUGUUUUCAUGUUCAUCGCUUUAAACCAUGUU